GGAUACGCAGGACGUCCUCUACGGCCACUUCCGUGGAUCUAGAGCAACUGGGGAACCUAAUUCUGACCAACAAGGAAGAAUUGCUUGGCUAAUUGGAAGUGACAGAAACCUUGGGAGAAAACAACCACAUACUGAGGAUAAUUAUCAGAAGUAUUCACUCGCCCAGGGAAGGGGGAAUUUCAAAACAAAGCAACUGAAACAAAGAAAUAGAUUGAAUUUUCCAAAGUGCUUAAAGUGAAGACACAAGUCUUGAAACCUAAGGUGAUGAGGAAAGAACAGAUUUCUUGAACUUCUUCAAUGCUUCAAGAGGUAAAAUUGGAAAGAAGAAGGAAAAAAUUGUAUCCUUAAGCAAGAUCUGGUGGGUUGAAUGGUGGCACCCAGAAAGACAUGUCCAUGUCCCAAUCCCUGGAACCUGUGGGUGUGACCUUAUUUGGAAAGAGUCUUUGCAGAUGUAAUUAAGUUAAGGAUGUUGAGAUGAGGAGAUCAAUCACCCUGGAUUGUCUGCUGGGCUGUAAGUCCAUUGAUGCAUAUCCUUAAGUGACAUAAGAAAGGAAGACACAGAGAAAAGGAGGCAAUGUGACCACAGAGACUAAGAUUGGAGUAAUGAGGCCACAAGUGAAGGAAUGCUGACAGCUACCAGAAGCUGGAAGAGGCAAAAAACAGAUUCCCCCCAGGUCCUCCGGAGGAAGCACAGCCCUGCUGACACCUUGAUCUCAGAGUUCUGGCCUCAUAACUUUAAGAGAAUAAAUUUCUGUUGUUUUAAACCACCAAUUUGUAUAUAUUUAUUAUGUCAGCCCUAUUAAGUUUAUACACAGAGUUUAAAGAGAAUCUAGCAAUAUCUCUAGAAAGAUUAGGUUUUUCUGGGUUGGAGGGAAUGGAGGAAUGUGAAAUGGACGGUGGAGUGUGGAGAAGGUCUGAGGGACUCCUUGGAGGGGAGAACCAGAG
Molecule: long non-coding RNA, 945 nt
Filed under: Equus asinus (donkey)
Lineage: Eukaryota; Metazoa; Chordata; Mammalia; Perissodactyla; Equidae
Description: lncRNA (ENSEASG00005031263.1)
Source: RNAcentral